RNAcentral lists this ribosomal RNA (253 nucleotides) under uncultured bacterium. RNAcentral's name for it is "partial 16S ribosomal RNA". It matches the Rfam family "Bacterial small subunit ribosomal RNA", at positions 524 to 776 of the family's 1533-position model. The record is from RNAcentral.
UACGUAGGGGGCAAGCGUUGUCCGGAAUUAUUGGGCGUAAAGAGCGCGUAGGUGGUCCGGUAAGUCGGUUGUGAAAGUCGGGGGCUCAACCCUCGGAUGCCGAUCGAUACUGCCGGGCUAGAGUCCGGAAGAGGCGAGUGGAAUUCCUGGUGUAGCGGUGAAAUGCGCAGAUAUCAGGAGGAACACCAAUGGCGAAGGCAGCUCGCUGGGACGGUACUGACGCUGAGGCGCGAAAGCGUGGGGAGCAAACAGG